Molecule: ribosomal RNA, 260 nt
Filed under: uncultured bacterium
Lineage: Bacteria
Description: partial 16S ribosomal RNA
Source: RNAcentral
CUGCUGCCUCCCGUAGGAGUUUGGGCCGUGUCUCAGUCCCAAUGUGGCCGGUCACCCUCUCAGGUCGGCUACUGAUCGUCGCCUUGGUGAGCCGUUACCUCUCCAACUAGCUAAUCAGACGCGGGUCCAUCUCAUACCACCGGAGUUUUUCACACCAAACCAUGCGGUUUUGUGCGCUUAUACGAUUUUAGCAGUCAUUUCUAACUGUUAUCCCCCUGUAUGAGGCAGGUUACCCACGCGUUACUCACCCGUCCGCCACU